This 859-nucleotide ribosomal RNA is filed under the name Bacillus amyloliquefaciens. Its description in RNAcentral is "bacterial SSU rRNA". It matches the Rfam family "Bacterial small subunit ribosomal RNA", at positions 48 to 888 of the family's 1533-position model. The record is from RNAcentral. Lineage: Bacteria; Bacillati; Bacillota; Bacilli; Caryophanales; Bacillaceae.
CUAAUACAUGCAAGUCGAGCGGACAGAUGGGAGCUUGCUCCCUGAUGUUAGCGGCGGACGGGUGAGUAACACGUGGGUAACCUGCCUGUAAGACUGGGAUAACUCCGGGAAACCGGGGCUAAUACCGGAUGGUUGUUUGAACCGCAUGGUUCAGACAUAAAAGGUGGCUUCGGCUACCACUUACAGAUGGACCCGCGGCGCAUUAGCUAGUUGGUGAGGUAACGGCUCACCAAGGCGACGAUGCGUAGCCGACCUGAGAGGGUGAUCGGCCACACUGGGACUGAGACACGGCCCAGACUCCUACGGGAGGCAGCAGUAGGGAAUCUUCCGCAAUGGACGAAAGUCUGACGGAGCAACGCCGCGUGAGUGAUGAAGGUUUUCGGAUCGUAAAGCUCUGUUGUUAGGGAAGAACAAGUGCCGUUCAAAUAGGGCGGCACCUUGACGGUACCUAACCAGAAAGCCACGGCUAACUACGUGCCAGCAGCCGCGGUAAUACGUAGGUGGCAAGCGUUGUCCGGAAUUAUUGGGCGUAAAGGGCUCGCAGGCGGUUUCUUAAGUCUGAUGUGAAAGCCCCCGGCUCAACCGGGGAGGGUCAUUGGAAACUGGGGAACUUGAGUGCAGAAGAGGAGAGUGGAAUUCCACGUGUAGCGGUGAAAUGCGUAGAGAUGUGGAGGAACACCAGUGGCGAAGGCGACUCUCUGGUCUGUAACUGACGCUGAGGAGCGAAAGCGUGGGGAGCGAACAGGAUUAGAUACCCUGGUAGUCCACGCCGUAAACGAUGAGUGCUAAGUGUUAGGGGGUUUCCGCCCCUUAGUGCUGCAGCUAACGCAUUAAGCACUCCGCCUGGGGAGUACGGUCG